GAACAAAAUGGCAGCGUCGAAAUUUGCUCAAAUCUCUACAGAGGUUCUGCCUUUCCCAAUAUCAAAUCAGCUGGGAGUAAAACAUACCUACCGAGUAUCAUCUCGCAUGGACUUACCCAAGUCGCUUCAUGCUGUGCAGACCUAUAUGCUUACAUAAGAAACGGUAAAUAUUCAUCCCAAUCUUUUUGGGAUACAAAAGAUGCUAACAUGGUCUCAAUUGUUCUAUUUGCCCGUUCGACUAAUCCAUCUAAUUGGGGUCUAUAUGGGUUGGUACGGGUUUUCUCGAUCCCGAAUAUUUUACACAUUUCUCGAAAAAUAUCAGAUUUAAACGAUCUCCAAUGGUCACUAUGUAUUUGCAUUGGGGCUCCGAAGAUACUGAUUAUUCAUUAUCCUUUCAGUUAAUUUCUGGGCCACUGUUGAUGCUUUUUGAUUACGAAUUGGUACAGCAUCUACCCACUUUGUGAAAUAAUCUCCCAUAAGAAAAAGAGUUACAAUCAGAAAAGGAGCCAGAUCUUCACAUGGCACCACUCAGAGCACCACACAGAAAAAGGAAAUAAAAUGAUUAAAAAAAACCAACAGGAUGCACCUGAGCAGUCAAACAGAAAUAGAGAUGAACACGCCUAUCUUUUUCAUGGAAUGGAUCUUGAAGCUAUCUCAUCAGGAUGUAUUGAGAUUCAAGUCCUUGAUUACUACUCACAACUUUUUCAUGCCCAGUUUGUAGUCAUAUAUGGGCUUUUACCGCCUUCACUGUUAUACCAACAACAAAUGUCACAAAUGGAACUACCUGCCAACUGCGUGCAUGUACCAAUGGAUGCUGAUGCUUUACAAAUACAAAUACCUACAGGGUCAUUAUGUAGUCAGUGCAAACAAGCAUUCUGAGAGUAUUGCAUAAGCAAUACACGUCCCCUACCGGUUUGUAUUAUUCUAUGAAAGCUUCCAAGCACACAACUAUUUCAGAGCUAUUGUAAACGAGAUGUCAUGCUUUAAUCAGAGAUAAAAGAACAGAGGAAAUUAAAACUAUAUAGUUGAACUAGAAAUUAAUUAUGAAAUAGGUAAAAUAAUACUCUUUAUUUCAUCUCCUGUAAUUUCGCCAAGUCUAUUCUGUAUUUGCUGGUAAAAAUUUGUGAAAAAAAUGCACUGUUAUGCACAAUACCAUUUCUUACCGUCUUCUGUACCCCGAAUCAAACCAAACAGUUAAAGCAGUGCACAGUUAAACAGCCCAACCCGACAACGAACCCGAUUGUAAUAAUAAUACAAAAAACCCUGCCGAUUAAAUUUACAACACAAUGCUUGACACUAUUUUAUAGAAUUUAUUUGUUUGUUAGAAAUGAUAAAAGAAAUGGUACAGGAAAAGGAAUGGUUCAAGUAACGCACGAUAUUAUUACUGACUACAUUCUGACCUCGUUUAUUCAGUCACACACCGAACCCGAUAACGAACCCGAACAUUAAAAAAUUGGAAUAUAAAAAAUUAAUUUUCUCGAAAAUAUGUCAAUCAGACGCUACAAAAGUGUAAACUUGAUCUGUAGUUCGACAUUUUGAAGCUGUUCAGCAAGUUUCAUAUUAUUCCUCAAAUGCAUAAAGAAAAAAAGUGUGGAAAACUGAAGUAAGACAGACAGACGGACUGACGGACGGACAGACGGACGCAGAGGAAAGCUAUAGUCCCCUCCGGUGAAACCGGUAGGGGACUAAAAACAAAAUCUCAAUUACUGUGUAUGAUUCUCUGAGAAAUUCUAGUCGAGUACAAGCGUUACAGCAACAUCUAACUAAUAUGUAUGGGAACAUUUGUAGCAUGCAAAUAAAGUAUGUUGUGGCUCAAACACAAGGCUCAACUCUAGAUUGUGGUGCAUUUGCUGUAGCAUAUGCUUAUAGUCUUGUGAAAAAAAUAACGCUUAGUACAAUCAGAUAUCUUUAAAGUUCCAUGAGAAAACAUUUGAAAAUGUGUUUGGAAAGCGCUAUUAUAAAUGAAUUUCCACUUCAAAAAGAAUGUGAUUUGAACUUCAUUGACAAUUAUUUCCAUGACCAAGCUGUAAGGAAAAAUGAAAAAAACAAACUAUUCAAAACAAAGAAAGUAUGGUAAAUAAUGCUUCCAUCGAUUGCAUACAAAAGAAAAUUUCAAAAGUUAAGAACUGUAAACAAAAACAACUAGAAAAUGUUAAAGACUUAACCAGACAAAAGUGGACACAACAAAAAAGGAAUGCAAGGGAAAAGUACAGAAAAUUUGCAUAAAUUUAAGAAAGCGUGCUUUUGAACAACAAAAGAUCAGAGAAAAACAUAAAGAAGAUAAUUCCGAUGCGGCAAAAUCAAAAAGUAGACACGAGCAACAAAAGAUCAGAGAGAAACAAAGAAAAUGAUCCAGAGGCUGCGAAAUCAAAACGUAGAAAACAAACACAAAAAAUCAGAGAAAAAAAUAAAUAAAAUGAUCAAGAUGCUGCGAAAUCAAAACGUAUACAAGAACAACAAAAAUUCAGAAAAAGCCAUAGCGAAAAGGACUUAGAAACAGCAAGAAAAAAUCAAGCACAGGCAAAACGAAAAUAUAGAAAAGAUGAAUAUGAUAUGAAAAGGGCCUAUAAAAACGUUUGCAAAAAUAUUCAGCAAUAUCCAGAAUACAUUUGUACCUGUUGUAGCAGAAUGCUCUAUAAAAGAUCAGAAGUAGCUUUCAAUAAAGCUACAUUUUAAAGAACAAGUGAAAACUUAUUAAACCAGUGUAAUUCCAAUUCUAGAAGUGCUAAAAAUAAGAAAUGGCUUUGUAGAACUUGUUUUCACUAUAUAAAACACAAUAAGUUACCACCACAGUCGGAUGCAAACAAUUUGGAAUUUCCAAUAAUUCCAAAAGAGCUUCAGGGACUGACAACAUUGGAGGAAAGGCUACUCUCACAACUUUACCCAUUUAUGAAACUUAUCGCUUUGCCCAAGGGCAAGCAAAAUGCUAUAAAGGGAGCUGUAGUGAAUAUUCCUGUGGAAGUGCAGUCAGUUGCACAAACUUUGCCACGUACACCUUCAGACGCUGGAUUUAUUCCAUUAAAGUUAAAGAGGAAAGUGGAAUAUAAGGGACAUUAUUCUUUCCAAUAUGUAAGACCACAAAGAAUAUUACAAGCACUGCAGUGGCUCAAAGCAAAUAACAAACUUCACAGGACAGAUAAGGCUACACAUCAUUUUGAUAUGCUAAUGAAGGGAUGAGAUAUGACGUCAUAAUAUAAGCCCCGCCUCUGUAUUUCCAUAUAAAGAAUAUAUACCGAAAACAGCAGUUUAUGCCAAAAAACGACCGAUUUAAUACUUCAUGAGAAAAAUAUAACUACGAAUCACUCAUGUGUGUUUUUAUAAGUUUACAACAAUCAGAAUAUACGAAGAAUUUCCAUAACGCAUCUGUCGUAUGGGUGUGAAUCUGCGUCCUAAAAGCGCUCGUCAGACGAUGUAAACACGUGUAGCUAGUAUUUCCGAUGAUGGCGACCUUUUGAUGAUUUAUCAGGUAGUAGAAUAGAUAUAUAGUGUAUUUGUAAUGUACCAGAUAGCUUAAUAAUAUUUUAUUGUGAUUUUAUACAGUUGAUGAAUUUCUGAUCGACCUAAUGUGUUGUUUUGUUCAAAAUAUGAGGAGAGAGUGCGUUGAUUACAUUUAAGCCUAUACAAUGUAUACAUGUAGCUUAAUUGCCAGUCCGUUAAAUUGUUGAUCAUUUUCAUCCGAACCCGUUCAUAGUACUUGUACUGCCAAUACUUAGCUUUACACAACUUUUGUUUGUUUUUUUCCAAUUUGUAAGUAAACAAUACAAAGACUGUGUGAACAGGUGAAAACAGCUGAUUUGAUUUUUUGAAAAUCAGAACAGUACAGGCUUAAAGGUUAUUAUAAACAACUGAUUUCAUUUUCUGGAAAUGAAAGAACAGCUGAUUAAUAACACCUUUCCACUGUGUUCAAAAUUCUUCCAUGACAGUUCAUAUAUAAAUAUUUUAUUACACAUUCAUCUAAUUGAUAUAAGAUGUUCAUGCAACAAUUGCUAGCUCAAUAUGACUAUGUAAAAUAUGCGAAGCUUAUCUUUUCUGGAACUAAACACAAGGUAUAAUGACUUCUCCCAUGCUAUUCACACAUAUUCAUGUUUCAGCUUCGAUUUAUUUACUUUGAGCAUGCGCUCUUAUUACUUUAAUAUUAACUGAAAUUAGUUUUUUGCAUACUAAUAUAAUGAUACGCUAGUCUUGCACCUUUUCAGUAUCAUGGAUUAACGGUUUUCAUAAAAUUAUAGAUUUCAUAGUCCUUGUUGUAAGAUUUCUGAAAGGGUAUGUGUAUGGUCUUUGGUCUUACGUGACUGUUAUUGCCAGGGGUACUCAGUGGUGGCCAAAACCACUGCUAUUGCGGUAAUCACGCAUGUAACUUUACCCUUUGUGAUAACUAACAUUGAGAUGAAAAAAAAAAUUGUUGAUAUAAAGACAUCUUUGAUAAGGAGUUUAUGUAUAUGGCACCACAAUUCUUGUGCAGGACGACAGUCAAUCUUGUGCAGGACUACAGUCAAUCAGGACUUUCAAAAAGCUUCCGUCACAAUAACAUUGGUCAUUUAGAAGUGAAUUACAAUUUUUAAAUAUAACUUUCGACAUUAAUAGUACAGCUCAUAUCUAUAAGGCAACCUAAUCGGGAUAUCGAGGGUAAAAAUGAUAAGAGUCGGUUUAUGUUUAUGUUUGUCUUUUUUCUUGUAUGUUUUCUUCUUUAUCUGAUUUGCUUUUAGUGCAUUUAUUCAUAAAGUGACAUUGAUGGACAUUUGGUUUUGUCUUUGCCUUCAUGGUUUUAAUGGACUCUUGAAAGAUUUAGAUAUGGCUCGUGUUUGACGCUUUUUGUCCCUUCUAUGGCCUCUUGCACAACUUCUGAUGUAAGUUGUCCACACUCAGCAAAGUCGAAGAGCCUGGGAAAAAAAUGCUGCGGACGAUCGUAGUCUUUUCCUCAAAGGUGAACACUGCUCGUAGAUGGGCACUGGCCGCCGUAUCUCUAUUUCAACACCUCGCCGUGUUUUUCGGUUGCAAUGAAAUUUUCAUCUUUUGUCGUCAAAACAGC
Molecule: long non-coding RNA, 5029 nt
Organism: Magallana angulata
Lineage: Eukaryota; Metazoa; Mollusca; Bivalvia; Ostreida; Ostreidae
Exons: 4
Source: RefSeq, a predicted model, not a curated record